AUAUUUGGAAAAAGCCUUGUCCCCAGCACAGACAUGGUGCUUUUAAAGGAUUAAUCAGUCCUCUUGGAAAGGCAUGUGGCCAAUUCACCCUGAGUACUGAGGGCUGAGCUCAAGACCUCCUCAGAACUUGUGGUCUAGGAUAUAUGUCGGAUAGGUUUUCCGACAAAUUCUAAACAGGUGACCUUGUUACCUUUGGUAGAGUACAUCCAGCAAGUGCCUAUUAAGUGCUCAAUAGAGACUCUCAGAGCUGAAAAGAGCCCUAGAUGAUGCAACCCAAUUCUCUAUUGGGUUCAAUAAAGCAGCCCUGACAACAUAUAGCAAACUCUGAAUAACUGAGCAUUGAGGCCUCUCUAAAGAGGUCAGUUGGAUGACUGAUGUAGACACGCUCUUCUUGGUCUUAGUACAUUCUAGUUUUCCAGUCAUAGCUUGUUUUCUGAACAGCCCAUAGCAACCCAUCAGACCACUCAAACUGAGCAUGUGUUAACUGUAGCAUAGAUGCCCAUGAGUCAAAGAACAGAUGGAUAGGGCAGUGGUUGCUGUAGGGAGCUUACAGACAGGAGUCAGACAAAGAACUACACACACCUCACCUGGCUAGGAGAGCUCUGGGGAAGCAGGGGAUCUUGGGAAGAAAACAGUUUGGGAUUAAAGAUGAUGGUCUUAAAUUCUUAGACAAAGCAGAUGUAGAAGUCUAGGCAGAGGAGACAGGCAGCCCAGACAGGGGCAAAGGCAAGAACCACACAGUAUGCAGAGAGCUGCAGACCACCCCCCUCCCCAAAGUAGAUGCAAUGUGUCUGGGGUAUCACACAUUAUUCAGAGGUUGUAAGAAGAGAGAUAAAAGAAAUACAUUUUAGUUAUUGUAAUGAUAGUCACAGGUUUCCCCCUCCCCCGCUGUUGUUUUUAACACUGUGGGUUCAAUUUAAACCUGUGGUUAACCAAAAGCCUGUUUUCAUCCCCAUUUGAAUAGUACUUUUCUUUCUUUCUUUCACUUUUUGUGACUAGUAAGCCUAAAUGGAAGAAGAUAUACAUUCCCCUUUUGCCAUUUAUAUUGCCAGUGUGGGAGAGAGGAGUAAGAUCUUGACUGCUAUGUAGCUGUCACUGCUGCUGGGUUCUAGCCGUUCAGCUGCCCAGAACUGAUGGAAUGGCCCUGCUCAGGCCCAAUAUGGUGGCUUGACAGUUUCUAACAAAACAGCUAGCCCAUUCUGACCUGAAGGUUUGUUUCAUCUGGUCAACAAGUCCAUGUAACUCAGGGGCUUCCUAGGAAGGAGGGCAUUCCCUAUGGAAACGGGAACAGUUCAGGCACACCAACGUGAGGUAGUCACUCUAGUGGCAGCUCAUGUUUUAGAAAUGUAGUCUUUCACUCAGAGGAUACACCUAAUAAACACUGCUGGGCUGGCCCUCACUCCUAGCUGCUCCCCUGCAGCGCCUUUCUUCCAGGAAGCUGAUGGUCUGUUCUCCCUCUCCACCCAGUCCCCACUCUCCAAGCUGCCAGUGGAGCUGGCUGGCUUCUGUUCCUGAGAAUAAAUGGACCCUUAGUCUCCAAAAUCAUUUAGCCGCUCCUGGAGACUCAAAUGCUGCUGUCUUUAGUUUUGAAACCUGCCCUGACCGACUCUCCUGGUUCUCUAUGACAGUUCUGGUACUUCUGGAGUGUUUUAGCCUCCUUCAUAGUUUUGAAUUGACUACAUUUCUCUUUUAUCAGGUCCUUUAGCUGGGGCCAAGGAAAUGCCUGAGGUGUCUAGAGGCCUCUGAAAUCAAUUGUAAAGGCGACUGACUGUAUGUGAAGUAUGCCUUGAUUAUGCUUCAAAUGAGUCUCUAUUGCAAGUGGAUUUUAAAGUUUACCUUAAAUUUUGCUACUUCUGAUUUCUUCUGUCACUCCAUGGCCACAGCUCUCAAAACUGUAUGCAUUGCAAAAACUAGCAAGGUACUUAUUAUCAAACAAGUACCCAGAUCUCCUUAUGUGGUUCUGGCUCAGUGUGAAUUUCAGAUGGAGACUCCAUCUCUACAUGAUUAUAGAUUCUGGUGCCAACAAUCCUAGAAGGAGUCUCCUCAUGGUCCUCACCAUGGCUAGGGUUCAUGGUGAUUACCAGAGAUCCUGGGUUAAUAAAGCUCUCAUCCAGACACUGUAUUUCAGACUACUGGUAAUACCUCAGGUACCUCAAAAAUCGACAGGCUCAAACAGAAAACCUUUGCAAUGCUUCCUACUAUAAGAAGUGCCAGCCAUCCCACCUCCAGGCCAUGCCUGAUCUGUGAGAGUCAUUUUCGAUGCUCACCUCUUCAAGCCCCGCCCUCUAUGGCUACUAGGCCAGCUGUUGUGUUUCCUAAACAUAUUGCCGGUCUCUUGCCCUCUGGUCUCCUGGCUUGCUAGUGUUUGAAGCCUAUAUCAUUAUCAUCUAUACCUCUACAACAUCAUAAUGGCUUCCUGCCUACUUUCCUAUCUUUGGGUUCCAGUGUCUGGAGUCUCAAUAUCCCUUAAUGAGGCCAGAAAAAGACUUCAAAGGCAGAUGGGCCUGCCUCUUCAAGCCUCACUGGGAGCCUGACCACCCCACAGAGGCUAUAAUGACCUCAGACAGAGUGCUCAUCUGUGGUUCGUUCUCCUUACCUACUGCUCUCCUUCCUCUUUCCUCACUUCCCUGGUGGUUACUCUGAGGAAUUAAGAUGUACAUCUUGUCACCAUGUAAGUAAGGCACAACCUGGGCUCCUGGAAGGCCCUCAGAACUCUUCACAUUCCACCCUCCCAACAAGUCCCCAGCUGAGCCCCAACCCCAUCUAGUCUGGUGGAAAUAUGGCUCCUAACAGGUACUGUUUCUGUGGCCUCGCUAGCUCAGUUUAUUCUGUUUUGCCUACGGGACUCUUUCCAGCUGAACUGACAAGUACUUCCCACUAAUCUGUAAAGAAUUUAGAUACCUUUCUUUGUAGACAGGGUCUUGAUAUGUACCUCUGGCUGGUCUGGAACUCACUAUAUAGACCAUAUUGGCUUUGAACUUUAGAGACCACUAGCCUCUGCCUGCGGGGAUUAAAGAUGUGUGCCACCAUGUGUGGGGUGUUAAAGUCUUAAGUCCAAGUGUGAGAUGAUCCUUUUCUGAGCUCUCUAUUGCAUCUCCAGCCUACCUAGGUGGUUUUCUAAAAGCUACUCUACCAACUGUCUCAUUUUAGGUCCCUCUGUUGGGCAAUGUCUCCAUACAGGUUCUCCUAGUGCUGAUCUAAAAAGUAGGCCACAGUUCCAUUCCCACCUUGGAAGGUCCAGGAUGACAGGGUGGAUUCCUGGGCAUUUCCCUUCUCAAUGUCCUGGAACUGAUGUUGCCCUGUCUAGCACACUUCAGUGAGAAGGCUAGGCUGUGUCUCAUGGUAAAGUAGAGCUUGGCAGAAGAAGCGUCCCACAACAUUUGGGCCUUUAAAAUGACUUCACUGUUACUCAGGUAAUUAUGAAUAUUAUUGCUCAAGAUGUGUUCUCCUUACAUCCAGAGGUCUGAUUCAAAGCUUAGGUAAAGGGCAACUGCCUACUCCUACUCACCCGACUAGUGCUAAGAGUAAAGCAUGCUGCUUUGAACAUCUGUCUGUCCUGAGGAAUAUGAUCCAGGAAAAGAGGUUUUGCCUAUAAAACAGCACUACAGUGACCAACGGAGACAUACAAUGAAGCCCAUGGCCCCUGGAGGUGUGUUUCUGCAUCUGGCCCUACUGCAAGGUUAUGUGUGCUUCUGAUACUUAAUGGCUCCUAACAGGCACUGUUUUCAUAAAGGCUAUUUAGAGCUUAUGUGUCCUGAGACUGAACACUUCUGGAGGUCAGAACUUGUCUGAACCACUCUAUAUUCACCCAACAUACACCAGUGCCUUCAACUCCGAAAUUAGUGAGUGAUGGGGUGUGUGGUGAACUAUGUCCCAAGUCAAGAAAUUGGACCAGACUCCAAGGCAGUACAUAAAGCCCCAACAACUUGUUUGCUUUCAACAUAUAGCACCAAAAGUGAUUCCUAAAAGGAGCUGAGACCAUCAUUAAAGAAGCCCCCCCCCACACACACACAGCUGGGAGCAAGGCAGCCCCUCACUAGAGCCUACAAGGUAGCUCCAGGAUGAAGGGGUGGCUCCUGCUCAUCUACUGGAUUUCAGAAAAGAAACCAUGGGUAAAGCAAAUGGUCUUUGCUGACUUCCAUCUUCUUUGAGAAACUAUCACAUGCUAGUAUGGUAGACCACUUGAGGGGCACUCAAAAUCACUGAUUUGAAGUCAUCAUUGCAUUUCCUCCCACUUCCCACUGAAAUGUACAGAGUUCAUGGGGGAAAGGUCACCGCAUGGGAGUCCAUCUGGAGGCUUCUUCCAGCCUUCCUCACUGGCCUCAUCACUCCCACGCUCCACCUGCUCUGUUCCCACCCUUCUCCUCUAGCUGCCUCCUCCAAGGUCUUGCCCUUUCUCAUCCUCAAAGCUUGGCUCUUUUAUGAUGAAAAAGCAUGCACAUGUGCCAGAGAACAUAUAUAUGGACAAAUGUUGAAGAAAGUCAGAAAGCCAACCCUAGCCCCAACUAGCUUACCAUUCUACCAACGUAGUGUCAGGACAGACCCAAAUCAAUGAUGGGUUACUAAUGGGCUGUGACAAGGAUUGCUUAAACCUUAAAGCUAAACCUGCCCCUCAAACCUAAACUUAAGGAUAGUUCCUGAAGGACAAACAUGAGGGUCACUAGACCUCUUUACUUGUUCCUUUCCUAAUGUGGGCAAAAUCAACAAAUCUCUUUGUUUUUCCACUACUAUCUCUAACUGAUAUACUCAGGUGAAUCUAGCUUAUCAGAGGACCCAACUCUAAGGUCUCUAGAACCAGGGUAAGAAGGGGUCCAUUUAAUGCUGCCCAAGGGAUCACAGAGGCUGCUGUGAGGGAGAAGCAAAGCCUUUCAAGAAGAGAGAAUGAGCCAACCACGAAGGGAAGAGGGGCAGUGCUGGGCACACACAGCCCCUUCCACUAGGGUACACGGCUUUCCAACCUUCCUACAGGGGAAUGAGGAAGUCUGCACUAUAUUACCAUGUCACAGCUCAGCAACUGAGAACCACCUGGAGUCAGAGUAACUGACUGGCUCCAUACUGUAGUAGCUUGUUUUCCAGGAGGGCAGAUAGGCUUGCUGCAGGAGAAUGCCUGCCCAAGUCUAUGCUGAUGUGUAGGAGUCCCUCCGCUCUACUACUGACCUCACUGUUGCCAUGUGAUAUGCUUUUCUGCUCUCCUGAGCAAAGGGAAAUUCCUCACCUCCAAGUUCUCCUUGUUGUUGAAGCUGCUCUUUAAACUGUCAAAUCUACAGAGAUACGCAGUACAUGCAACUCUCCCUCUCAUUUAGACUGUCCAAGGUUCUAAGUUUACAUUUCUUUAAAACAGACAUACUAGCUAGGAUAUAGCUCAAGGGCAAAGCACUUACCUAUAAUAUAUGAGGCCCUAGAUUCGAUUCCCAGCACAAUAAAACAAAUGUUCUAACAUAUAAUUUAGGACACACACACCCACAUUUUUUUUCUAAUACAGAGUCCAUACUUUUUUCCAAAAAAGUUUUUGGCAAUUUUGGACCCAGGAUCUACUCAUAGCUCCUUAACAUAUGGCUGCUGGCUGUGCUGUUUGCUUACUCUAAACUAGGGUAUUAGGCUAUUUCUUUUUCACUGCUAAUGAAUUAUGUUUGUGAAGAACUUGAGCCCAAUCAUGUAGGCUGCCCCUGUUCUUUUUUCUACGUGGUUAGAACGGUGGGCCUCCAUCCCGAACCCAAGUGCACAUAAUGCUAAACUGCCUUCUGUUUGAAGCAUGUCCUCACAAGAGACAGCAGGAUCCUGGUCUUCUCUUGGUUGUUUUCAUACUUCCUCAUGUGCAACAUGAAUGGUUCCGCCACAGUGAGCGACUCUGUAGAAGCCCAAAGUAACAGAAUCCUGGACUAUGAACUAAAUAUAUAUUUUUUUCUAAGUUAAUUACAUCAAGUAUUUUGUAGUAAUGAAAUGGUGAGCAUUUAACAGUACUGGAAGUUAAAGUAUGUUUUAAAACCAAUGUCAAGUAUUUCUGGAAAGUUCCACUGUGAACUUAGGAAGCAAGAGUAAUAAAGUCUUGGUAUCAUCAUAAAUGCAGUUUUGACUCAGCCCGAGAAAGGUCAAUCUCCUUGCCACAUUUAGUAGUUCACUAACCUACAGAAAUAAAAAAACAAGGAACUAGAUAGCCACACAGUUCUGUGCAAACACAAAGUGCUACUGCCUGAGUAACCUUUAUCACAAAUAAAGGCUUUGGGCAACUCAGCCUACAAUUUUAUGUUAAACCCAAGCAUCUUCUUUUCCAUCCAGACUGCUGAAGGCUCACACUGGGAGGCCACAGGCAAUCUAGAUGUUUGCUUUUUUUAUCUGAGGCUACUAUCCUAAAUGUGUACAGUGGUCUUCACUUCUCUCUGAAGACUUGAGGAUUCUCAAAACAAAACAAAACAAAAACAAAAACAAAAAACAAAACCAACUGUUAAGGAAAUCUUAUAUUCUUAGGCUCACAGUAUUUCCUAUAACAUCUCAAAGCCACCAACUUAUCCCAUUGCUUGGAGAGCCAUCCCAUAGGCCAUGUGGACGUCAGGCUACGCAUGCCUCAGAAGCAUUCAGAAAGUCCGAUGUGCUCCAGGACAGCUGUGUUGUUAGAUCUCUGGCUCUGAGGGUAGCCUUGGAAUGAGAAUGGCUCAUUUCAGUUAACAUUCCCAAUCCUUAGCACACCCCUUUGGCUCAGUUCAACCAACAUCUAAGUAACUGCACUGUCAUUAGGCACAGGGACAGACAGAACUGAGCAACACACAAACAUCUUGCUCUGAAGCAGGUCUAGGCUGGUGGGCAGUUCUUGCCAUGGGGGUGCAAAACUUGCUAAGGAGGGCAGAGCUAGUGACAGUGUGGAAGGAUGGAUAUUGUAAACACUGUAGUAGGUCUUGGUUCUUACAAUUUGAGCUACAACUGAAAGGACACACAUGGCACAAGAGACCUGGUUCUAAUCCCAGCUGUAACAAGGACCUGAAGCUGUGACAUGGAGCAAGCACCUUAAGAGCGCUGUCUUGUUUGGGGGAAAGCAAGUCGACAGCUCCCAUGGCGACUACAUGCGAGGCACGCAGCCCCGCCCGGCUGGGAGAGCGCUUGUCAUUAGCACUGGCACAGGGUGGCUACUGGAUGUCUCUUCCAGCGACUCAAUUACCAGGGUAGCCACUGGGCUUGACCAGUUCUCCCACAGUUUCUACUUGGUCCCUGAGGAACAUGAUGUCCUGUUGUGAGUGACCAGGAGCUUCAGGCCAUUAGACUACUGGGGACGAAAGAUGGCAAACACUUCAGAAGCUCUCUUGGGCAAGGCAUGGCUUCAGAUCCUGGGGAAUCACUCCCAGAAGAGUCACUAUGAGGUCUUUGAGGCUUGCUUGGUCACAAGUUUCUGGGACAGAUGACCUUGAAUGAGAUCCCAGAGCGCUCUCUAAGACUGAGGGUGCCUCAGAAUGUGCAAGAUUUCACACAUCUUCACGCACAGAAUAUCUGUAGGCCCUUGAGAGCAAUAGAGAUGACUGGCUGCAGCCAGUAUCAAUUGCACAGGGCCACUAUUUCUUCCCCACUUAGAGUAACCACAACAUCUGACACCAUAGGAAGCUCCAUUGAGCAGCAGCAAUGGUAGCCAAGCAUCUCCAAGCACAGAGGAUCAAAAAGAAAUUGAACAUAGAGAUUAAACGUUUGAGUUCCCAGGCAUGGUCUUAAGCUUUGGGAAAACACUAGGGAAUUACAGGACCACAUCCCUGCUGUCUUGGAACUGGUAAUCCAGCUGGAGUGGAAAGGAAAGACAAAUAGUCAACAAAACAUGAAUGAAUUAGAUAGUAUGUCAGGAGAAAAUGAGUGCUUGAGAGAAAAACCCUACAUGGUAAAGAAGCUGAGUAACUAGGGAAGUGAACUGGCUCAUACUGGAAGAAGAGAUCAUCAAUUACUCAUUCUCAUUGUAUCCCGUGGCUGCACUGUGAUAUUGGCUAAUCAAUUCCUGCUUGUCAGCUUGCGCAAGAAACAUUUUGGGGGGUGUAUGCUGUACAGGGUUCAAAGCCUACAGUUCCUCCUAGUUCUGUCUGUGUCAAGCCCUGUUCCCUAGGAACCACCACCCACCUACAUCACACCAGACCCCACGCUUUCUUUCACCCACAUGGGUGUACUAGGAAGUCCUUCAGGCUACCCCUCCCACAUCCUUACUGUAUCUGGCUACCUCUCUCCUCCUUGCCCCUGAACUCCACCACCAGUCUACUGCCUCUGAUCUGGAUGGCUGAAGCAGCUUCCAAAGAAGACUUUCUGCCUCCAUUCUUGUCCUAGUGGCAACUAUUACCCACAGUGGUCAGUGGGAAUGUUCUUAGUGUGCUCAGGCUGCAGCUAGCUGUCUUUCCCUCCAAAGUUGCUCAUAACUUGGAAAGUAAAAUCAAACGGUUUGUGUACACUGACAGACUUCAGGAACUAUGUCCUUGGCCCUCAUUUUCUUCCAUUUUCCCAGUCACAUGACUUGGUCCUCUCUAUUUUUUUCUGACUCUCCAGUGUACCAAACUGUUCCCACCUCAGGGCAUUUGCUGUCUCUCUUUGCCACAAUAGUUUUCAGUUCUAAAUUUUAUAUCUGUCUCAUGUAAGCAUUGUGGUUUUAAAGAAAAUGUUCCGAGGACUGAUGAUGGCCCAGCAUUCUCUCCCCACCUCUCCAGCUGUUCUUUCUCUAGCUCUCCUUGGUAAUUUCUCAACUGCUGCCUGCCCUUCCCCUAGAAGAACUGUCUCUCCAGCAGCUCCAGCAGCCCAGGCUGACUGACUGACCUCUGAGAUAGCUCUUUGAAAGAAAUCCUUCCUGUGCUUCAGAAUUCUCUAAGAGGCCACUUCUCAGUGUGCCUAUGUUAUUUAGGGUUUGAGAGAGGAUUUCACUAAAUUGCUCAAUCUGUGGACCAGGUUGGCCUCAAACUCCCAACAACCUUCUCACAUCAGCCUUCCAAGUGCUGGGACUACGGGAGUGUGAUUCCCCACAUAUUACCUGUGUCGACGGUCCUAUACAGAGUGUGUCCCCAUCCUGCUAUAGCUCUUAUUCCUCCCCUGUCCGAGGCUGGAGGUCAAUUCUUCCUCCAGGACAGCACAGGGUUCACAGGCUCAUACCCCAGGCUUGGAUCUCACACACUCACUCACUGGUUGUGCUUCUGGCCAAGUCCUUUCACCUUCUCUUAGUUUAUUUCUCACUGACACAGAAAUGUAUUUGUGAAUAAUGUUCACAAAGGAGUCCAGGAAUACUGUCCCCUAGUCUGUGACCCUGGUGUGUGGACAACUUCUAGGUUCAGGCAACAGCAGAUGUUUAAGAGGCACUUCCCCUAAUUCCUUUAGAAUCCCUUAGAAAGAAUUCAAUUGUCAUGAAUUCCUACAAGGACAUGCACUGUGCCAUAGGAGGAAGAUAGUGGACACUACACACACUCAGGCAGCAUGCCCCUCACUUAGACGAGGGCACCGUCCUCUCUCUAGAGGGACUGUCUACAUGGGCAGAAUCUUUGUAUUUCUCUGGGUAUGGGGGUGCUUGCUUUGCCUUCAUGUGAUGCUCCUGUAUAUGAUCCAUCUUUAGGCCAUUUUCCUUUCACUCCGUCAUCAACCUCUUUUAGAAGCUCAGUUGCUGAGGCUGCGGCUGGGGGAGCUCCAUUCCCCAUAUUUGUUCUUGUCAGCACCGCUGUGAGGCAGUGUCCUGUGUUGUGAUAAGGGUGCAGGAAAAUUCAGCUCCUUGUCUCUGACGAGGUGCUAGAGAAAGGUUUCCUGGUUCAGAAGUGGCCUUGGUGACAGGAAGCCCUCUGUAGCCCUACCAUGGUUGUCAGGGUAAAUGGGGAGUCUAGAUGCUAUCGUGUCUUACAUGGACAGUCACAGUGUCAGGGCAUUAGCCUGUUUGUUCUGACAAGCACACAUAACCUUGUUGAGGAAGGGACACACAAUUCCCUGGCUUUCUUCUUACUUUGGCUACUAACUUACUGCAGACAAAUCUUGUCCAUCUCUAGUCUCCAGAGCUAGAAUUGGGACUUCAAACCCUGUCACUCACAAUGCUAUGAUACAAAGGGCUUCUUUUCAGCACGAAUAAGGGGUGCAUAAGGAACACAGUGACUCUGCUGAAGUGGAAAGUCAAAGGCCUAAAGUCCCGCUGCCCUGGGCCUACAGUCACUGUAGGAAGCUUCCCAGUUGCAACUUCUCCAAUGUCUAAGGGUUGAGAGACCUUUAAGAAAUCUUAGUGCCUCCUUCCCAUUUCCUUCUGGUGCUAUUUUCUACCCUAGUAAGCUUCCUCAGCUUUUACAAUAUAAUGUACAACUGAAAAUAUCAUACAUCUGAACAGAAGCAUUUUGGUUUUCACAGCUCCAUGCACAAAUCCCCUGAAGCUAUAGAAAAACUAAACACACACAGACACAGACACAGACACACACACAGACACAGACACACACACAGACACACACACACACACACACACACACACACACACACACACACACACACACACACACACACACACACAGCAGGAAUAAAAUCACCAAAACUCCAGCACCAAAUCAGUGUUCUCUGGCCUAGCUGGGCUGCAGUUGCUCAGCAGACUGAAUAGGAGGGGCAGCCAUGUUCCCUGGCUGCUUACGCUGUCUUCGCUUUCUCAUUCAUUCCAGUAAACUCACUGCAAAGUGUGUCUCAAGUGUCUGGAUGAGGCAGCAUGGGGAAGCUCCAGGUCUGGUCCCUCCUCAACCAGUUACAGGAACGGAACACUCACUGUUUGGAUGGCCACUCAGAGUACAGCCUGGUUUUCAGGUGACUAGCACUCAACAAUACUCAACAUCAUCUAUGGGACGAGCAGCCAAAGAGGGACAAGUCUCUCCACAGGUCACGGUGCAUGCAGCUUCUGUUUUCUAAAGGAAACUAGGCCUCAUCUUGGUCCGGAGGCACUGCUCAAAAGCCUUGCCCUACCACCCCCCCUCUGAGUAAUAAACUCUCCCUCAGAGUUCAGAAUCCCCUCUAUUCUCUAAGGUAGGUGGUCAAUUCUGAGUAAGUCUUUCUGACUCAGUGACUCAAGGUCACUGGCAUCUACACGUAUAGGACAGGUCUGAGAAGAGCAGAAGGGACUGAGGUUACUUAGAAUUUUGGCAAGUCCUUUGCCCUAUGGCUCUGGAUGUCCCCAUCACUGGUAUCCACAAGGACCAGAGAGGACCUCUAGAGAAGCCUCAACACCAAAAGCCUAGGUUUCCUCUGCCCAUCCUGGGUUCCAGUACUCACCCCGGGACCAUGACUGAAUGAAGUCUGCACGGGAACCCUGAGGAGAGUCCUGUGCUCUGAAUCUGAAGACCACAAACCCUCUGAAGACAGCUAGGAUUUAGACUCUUCUUAAAAACCAAACAGGAAAA
Long non-coding RNA from Mus musculus (house mouse), 11348 nucleotides. RefSeq annotates it as predicted gene, 53766. The record is from RefSeq and is a predicted model, not a curated record. The transcript is spliced from 2 exons. Lineage: Eukaryota; Metazoa; Chordata; Mammalia; Rodentia; Muridae.